CCCUUAGAUGUCCUGGGCCGCACGCGCGUUACACUGAUGCAUUCAACGAGCUUCUUCCUGGUCCGAGAGGAAUGGGUAACCUUUUGAAAGUGCAUCGUGAUAGGGAUAGACUAUUGCAAUUAUUGGUCUUCAACGAGGAAUUCCUAGUAGACGUAGUUCAUCAGACUGCAUCGAUUACGUCCCUGCCCUUUGUACACACCGCCCGUCGCUCCUACCGAUUGAAUGCUCAGGUGAGCCAUUCGGACUUUCAUCAUGCUGGUUUCCAGUUUUGAUGAAGGAAAGUCUUGCGAACCUUAUCAUUUAGAGGAAGGAGAAGUCGUAACA
RNAcentral lists this ribosomal RNA (324 nucleotides) under uncultured eukaryote. Its description in RNAcentral is "partial 18S ribosomal RNA". It matches the Rfam family "Eukaryotic small subunit ribosomal RNA", at positions 1470 to 1796 of the family's 1831-position model. The record is from RNAcentral.